This 487-nucleotide ribosomal RNA is filed under the name uncultured bacterium. RNAcentral describes it as "bacterial SSU rRNA". It matches the Rfam family "Bacterial small subunit ribosomal RNA", at positions 28 to 529 of the family's 1533-position model. The record is from RNAcentral.
GAUGAACGCUGGCGGCGUGCCUAAUACAUGCAAGUCGAGCGGUAAGGCUCCUUCGGGAGUACACGAGCGGCGGACGGCUGAGUAACGCGUAGGAACGUACCCCAAACUGAGGGAUAACUGCUCGAAAGAGUAGCUAAUACCGCAUGUGCUCUACGGAGUAAAGCUACGGCGGUUUGGGAACGGCCUGCGUACGAUUAGAUUGUUGGUGAGGUAAUGGCUCACCAAGUCGACGAUCGUUAGCUGGUCUGAGAGGAUGAUCAGCCAGACUGGGACUGAGAACGGCCCAGACUCCUACGGGAGGCAGCAGUAGGGAAUUUUCCACAAUGGACGAAAGUCUGAUGGAGCAACGCCGCGUGCAGGAUGAAUGCCUUCGGGUUGUAAACUGCUUUUGUACGGGAGCAAUAAGGUCUACGAGUAGAUUGAUGAGAGUACUGUACGAAUAAGCAAUCGGCUAACUCCGUGCCAGCAGCCGCGGUAAGAUAGCGUA